AGAGUUUGAUCAUGGCUCAGAGUGAACGCUGGCGGCGUGGAUUAGGCAUGCAUGUCGAGCGAUUCCGCAAGGAAUAGCGGCAAACGGGUUAGGAACACGUAGAUAAUCUUCCUUAAAUCCUGACAUAGCCCUAUGAAAAUAGGGGUAAUAUCGGAUAGUAUACUAGAGGGGUAUCCUUUUGGUAUUAAAGUAGGGGACCGCAAGGCCUUACGAUUUAAGAUGAGUCUGCGUAGCAUCAGCUAGUUGGUAGGGUAAUGGCCUACCAAGGCUAAGACGCUUAGCUGGUCUGAGAGGACGAUCAGCAACACUGGGACUGAGACACUGCCCAGACUCCUACGGGAGGCUGCAGUCGAGAAUAUUUAGCAAUGGGCGAAAGCCUGACUAUGCGACGCCGCGUGAGGGAUGAAGGACUUCGGUUCGUAAACCUCUUUUGGCAGGGAAGAAAAUGUUGCAGUUAACAGCUGCAAAACUGACGGUACCUGCAGAAUAAGCCACGGCUAACUCCGUGCCAGCAGCCGCGGUAAUACGGAGGUGGCUAGCGUUACUCGGAAUUAUUGGGUGUAAAGGGCAAGUAGGCGGCUUGGUAAGUGGGGGGUGAAAUACUCCGGCUCAAUCGGAGAACUGCCUUCCAAACUGCCAGGCUUGGGUAUGACAGAGGAAUAUGGAAUUCUCGGUGUAAGGGUGAAAUCUGUAGAUAUCGAGAAGAACACCAGCGGCGAAGGCGAUAUUCUGGGUCAUUACCGACGCUAAAUUGCGAAAGCUAGGGGAGCAAACAGAAUUAGAUACCCCGGUAGUCC
Molecule: ribosomal RNA, 797 nt
Filed under: uncultured bacterium
Lineage: Bacteria
Description: bacterial SSU rRNA
Rfam family: Bacterial small subunit ribosomal RNA
Source: RNAcentral